This 34-nucleotide small nuclear RNA is filed under the name Cervus elaphus hippelaphus. The record is from RNAcentral. Lineage: Eukaryota; Metazoa; Chordata; Mammalia; Artiodactyla; Cervidae.
AUCGCUUCUCGGCCUUUUGGCUAAGAGCAAGUGU